CAACCCUCGAACCCCCCGGGUUUGGUGUUGGGGUCCUCUGCAGCCCAGGCGGCAGAGCCCCGAAAUUCAGUGGCGGGCCUCUCGGUAUCCCGAACGUAGUAGUAUUUCUGUUCGUUCAGGGCGUGCCGGCGGUGUCCAGCCGUUAAACCCACUAAAUUUUACAA
RNAcentral lists this unclassified non-coding RNA (164 nucleotides) under uncultured Ascomycota. RNAcentral's name for it is "sequence contains ITS2". The record is from RNAcentral. Lineage: Eukaryota; Fungi; Ascomycota.